RNAcentral lists this ribosomal RNA (473 nucleotides) under uncultured Bacillus sp. RNAcentral describes it as "partial 16S ribosomal RNA". It matches the Rfam family "Bacterial small subunit ribosomal RNA", at positions 358 to 821 of the family's 1533-position model. Lineage: Bacteria; Bacillati; Bacillota; Bacilli; Caryophanales; Bacillaceae. The record is from RNAcentral.
GGAAUUUUUCCCAAUGGACGAAAGUUUGACGGAGCAACGCCGCGUGAGUGAUGAAGGUUUUYGGGAUCGUAAARCUCUGUUGUUAGGGAAGAACAMGUACCRUUMGAAUAGGGYGGUACCUUGACGGUMCCUAACMARAAASCCACGGCUAACUACKUGCCASCASCCGCGGUAAUACKUAGGUGGCAAGCGUUGUCCGGAAUUAUUGGGCGUAAAGGGCUCGCAGGCGGCUUUUUAAGUCUGAUGUGAAAGCCCCCGGCUCAACCGGGGAGGGUCAUUGGAAACUGGGGAACUUGAGUGCAGAAGAGGAGAGUGGAAUUCCACGUGUAGCGGUGAAAUGCGUAGAGAUGUGGAGGAACACCAGUGGCGAAGGCGACUCUUUGGUCUGUAACUGACGCUGAGGAGCGAAAGCGUGGGGAGCGAACAGGAUUAGAUACCCUGGUAGUCCACGCCGUAAACGAUGAGUGCUAAGU